UCUCCGUAGGUGAACCUGCGGAGGGACCAUCACAGAGUUCUCGCCCUCGCGGGUAGAUCGCCCACCCACUGUCAUCGUUACUGUCGUUUCUUUGGCGGGCCGUCGGGUCUCCGGCCGCCGGCGUUUAAUAGGAGGCGCGAGCCCGCCAGAGGCCUUCGAACCCUAAAUGUUAGUGUUGGCUGAGUACUAUAUAAUAGUUAAAACUUUCAACAACGGAUCUCUUGGUACUGACAUCGAUGAGGAAC
This 245-nucleotide unclassified non-coding RNA is filed under the name plant metagenome. Its description in RNAcentral is "partial contains small subunit ribosomal RNA, internal transcribed spacer 1, and 5.8S ribosomal RNA". The record is from RNAcentral.